AACGAACGCUGGCGGCGUGCUUAACACAUGCAAGUCGAACGCGAAAGUUUCUUUCGGGAAGCGAGUAGAGUGGCGCACGGGUGAGUAACGCGUAAGUAAUCUACCCCUGUAUUUGGAAUAACCUACCGAAAGGUGAGCUAAUACCGAAUACGUUCAGGUUGGUGCGAAUCAAUCUGCAGAAAGGUGGCCUCUUCAUGAAAGCUACUGUACAGGGAUGANCUUGCGUACCAUUAGCUAGUUGGUA
This 244-nucleotide ribosomal RNA is filed under the name uncultured Desulfobulbaceae bacterium. RNAcentral describes it as "partial 16S ribosomal RNA". It matches the Rfam family "Bacterial small subunit ribosomal RNA", at positions 29 to 254 of the family's 1533-position model. The record is from RNAcentral. Lineage: Bacteria; Pseudomonadati; Thermodesulfobacteriota; Desulfobulbia; Desulfobulbales; Desulfobulbaceae.